CUCACUGCAGCAGGAAGACCUGCACACAACUGGCUGGAGACUGGCUGGACACAGCCCACAACACAUCAGUGUGGCUAUUGAUUCACCCAUGCUACAGAUCACAGAGAUUGUAUGUAUUCUCUUCUUUGGUCUUCACAUGUUGCUGAGAAGCUGUGAGAGAUUGGAGUAGCCCAUUGAACAAGUGCCCCAGUGCUCAGCCAGACCAGCCUUAACCUCCUAAUCCCAUCAGCCCUGAUCAUCAUAUCUUCAUAGUUAGGUCAGGACUCCACUAUACCAGCAGACUGGCAGAUUUCCAACAGAAAGAUACUCCCCACCUUGGAGAACUUGUGAUCUGAAAGUCAGGCAAGAAGCUCUGAACAGAGACACAGGGAAAUUCUGUUUGAAAAAAAACUAUUUUGCCCUUUCAUAUGGAUUCUCACACUCUUUGCAUGCAUCUUGCCUGUGGAAGGUAAGUAUUUCAUUUUUUUUCUUUCUUAGUUAGCUUGGGUGCUUUAUUUUUUGUUAGAUUUUCUUUGCCAUAGGCCCUGAAAACAAUAAUAACAGAAUACUGUGGCAGUUGCUUCCGUGUGGCUUGCCAAAGGGGUGCUAAGAAAUUUUUCUGGUUGUUCUGUAUGUGUGAGCUGCAAAGAG
This 630-nucleotide long non-coding RNA is filed under the name Taeniopygia guttata (zebra finch). Its description in RNAcentral is "lncRNA (ENSTGUG00000027882.1)". Lineage: Eukaryota; Metazoa; Chordata; Aves; Passeriformes; Estrildidae. The record is from RNAcentral.